Molecule: ribosomal RNA, 512 nt
Filed under: Cephalochetus elegans
Lineage: Eukaryota; Metazoa; Arthropoda; Insecta; Coleoptera; Staphylinidae
Description: partial large subunit ribosomal RNA
Source: RNAcentral
GUUCAGGGGUAAACCUGAGAAAUCCGAAAGAUCGAAUGGGGACAUUCAGUGCGUUUCGCCUGGCGGCGAGCUCAGGUCGCGAGACGUUCGGGCGUUCGCGCUCGUUCGCUCCGAUCGAAGCCGUUAGCCGCCGGCGCACGCGUGCACUUCUCCCCUAGUAGGACGUCGCGACCCGUUGGGUGCCGGUCUAAGGUCCGCGGUGGCGACCGCCGGGGCACGGUUCAUCCCGUGUCCUUGGCGGACCCGCGGUUGCCCGACCGGCCCGCUCGACGGUAUGACGAUGGCGUAGGGCCGCGAUCGUUCGCGCCCGGCCCGUCGCAAGCUCGACCGUUCGCCCGGCUAUCGGACCUGUGUGCCGACACCGGGCACGGGCGGCUGCUGGCGACGGUGUCCUCGGGCGGGCCCCGAUACACGCCCGUCGGCGACGCUCUAGCUUUGGAUACUUUCAGGACCCGUCUUGAAACACGGACCAAGGAGUCUAGCAUGUGCGCGAGUCAUUGGGACUCUGAUAA